UCAUGACUUACGCGAGUGUGGUGUUCGC
Molecule: small RNA, 28 nt
Filed under: Bombyx mori (domestic silkworm)
Lineage: Eukaryota; Metazoa; Arthropoda; Insecta; Lepidoptera; Bombycidae
Description: ovarian small RNA-26216
Source: RNAcentral